UUCCCUACCACUUUGCAUCCUCUGUUGAAUAGAAGACGAAAUCUUCGCAGUCUUAAAAAACCCGUCGUGGGUGUUGUGUGUUUAAAUUUCAACAUACCUGUUAAAUUUUCAAAAAAAAGAAUUCCUUUUUUGUAGUACUUUUAUCAUCAAUUAUUUACGAAGCUGGAAAGUGAGUGAUGUGAUAUUAAGUUCCAAUUCUUGAUAAUGGACUAUGAAUUAGAAAAGGAUUUAAAAUACAACAAAUAAUGAAGAAAAUCUCGAGAGCCUUUGGGUCCGGUUCAUCUCAUCUUCAGGAGAUGCCUACACUACAGGAUUACGGAAAGCUGUCAAAGCUGAGAAAAUUCAAGAGCUUUUGGAACCGAUGAUCAACAUUUGAUCUCACCCCUUGAAAAUAAUGAUUAAAAAGGGAUUUUUUCAACAAACAGGAAAAUUAGGAGAAAAUUACAUAAGUUGGUCCACAAUGGAGAUUUAUCACGGAAGCAAAAAUUAUAGGUCUCUAUUUGCGGAUAACGAGAAUGCAGAUAUAAUAUCAUGACGGUGGAAAAGCUUCAGGAUUAUCAAAAUUUAUGAAUUAAAGAUCACUGGAGCUUUGAAGUAAAAAUUGACAAAAGGAAAUGACAAAAUGGAAAAGCCAACUGGAUAAUUAGAAACAAAAAGAAUGAAGACAGACGAAUGAAAUUAGUUAUUUUAAUUAAAGAUGGUCAGAACUCCAGACUUGUCGGGGAAUUUUUGGAUUUCAUUGUUGAGGAAGAGGAGAAUCAAAAAGACAAGGUUGGAAGUCUUGCGGAAUGGAGAGAACAACAUCGGCGAGUCAAGGGAAAAGAAAAGGAGGGAAACAAGGAAAGACAAGAAGAUCAGCGAUUUCAUUCGUUUGCUGCUCUCUCUCUCUUUUUCGCUCGAGAAGGAAGCAAACGACACAAAAACUGGCGAGCAUUGUCUGAGAGGAGAGCGCGUUUCAAAAGUCAGUGGAUACCCGCUUGGACCCAUGCAUACCUACCACUAACCUCCCAAUCGAGUUCAGCGCGGGAAGGGACACGUCGCGAUUUGAUUUUUAAAUGCAAACAAAUCUACAUCGUGGCAAAAGCGCCGCCGCCCGUCACUCAGAAUCGAGGGACUUGAGGAUAUCCCCUCAAAAAGAAUGGAUCGCGGAUUUUUUCAAUCAUCACAGAAAUCUUUCUCUUCUGAAUCCGCAAUUCCCUUUCCUUUUGAUCCUGAAACGAAAACCGAUUUUUAUGCUUUCUCUGUCAGACUCCACCAGGACUGAUCGAAAAAUUAAACAGGAUUUAAUUAUUAAAUAAGUAAAUGAAUCUUUGUAGGGAGGGAAAGGGACCACGACAUUCCGGGGACAAUGGUUUUUUUUUAGUUGGACUUUCGUAAUUGUCAUUUCUGACCAUCCGAACAUACCCCAUUGCAUUUGUGAGACUUUAAUAAUAUGCGGUUUGUCUCCUCAAGAAAAGACCGUCAUCUAAUAAAACGAUCAGCGAUUAUCGUGCAAUUAUGCCGUCUCAUUAAUCCACUGGCAAUUAUGUCUCUCCUUCCUUUUCAGUGUGUACUUGUUCUUUUCCUUCGCAUCGUUUUCGUUUCAAUAACUUAUGAGUCCUGCACAUGCAGCAAUGUUGUGACAAGAUGUGCAUACCAUAGAGGAGCAAUUACAGACAUAAGUGAAAAACCCGUUCGUACAAAGUAAAUCUAAAUAGGGUAGUGAAAUUUUUAAAUUAGGAAUUAUUUGAAAAAUUCUGAUUUGGAAGGAAUAUUUCUAUGUAUGAAUGAGGAUGAGCAAAAAAUAAGGAGGCAAAAAGAGAUGGAAUAAGGUUUAUUCAAAUAAAGCAAGAGGUCCGCGCGCGUGGUGACGAGCAGUGACGCUAUACUUUCGUUUGAUGUCGCCGCGGUUGUCGGCAUCUGAUUAGCAUUCCCCUUCCCGCUCGGUUGUCGAGAGAGCCGCGCCACCCUGCACCUCGUUCAUUUGGAGUGAGAGGGAGAGGAAAGAGAGUAGAAUGUAAUCAUUCGUCCGAGUGAUAGACGAAGAGGACAAGAUGAGGUAGAGUCGCGAUGUCACCGUUGGCAGUGCCUCGUCUUUUCAUCCAUCCGUCCGUCUGUCCAUCUAGUUGUCUAACCGUUGCCGGCCGGGACUGCCUGAGUUAUUCCUUGCCGGUGGACCGGUCGUACGAGAACUGCGGCGACAUCAUUUAAAUGUCCCUUUGCGGAGCCCUGGUUUUUAGUCCUCAUCUCCGCGAAGCCAACGGCCCUGGACCUCGAGAUACUCCUCACUCUGUCAAGCUAGAAAUUGCGCUGGUAUGUGCCUUGGAUUUAAACCCCAAGACUCGUCAUUCAAAGUCGGCAAGUUGUGAUCUCGAUUGCUCGCGAAUAAACCUGCUAACUGGAAUCUGGUUUCCUCAAACGAUAAAAAUGAUUUCCCCCUUUUCAAUGGUUACGAUUAUUUCAUUCAGAAUUCAUUCUCUCGACACAAUGCAAUCUCAUUUUCUCAAUUAUUGAGAAAUUAUUUUGUCCAUUAAUUUUAGAAAUGUUAACUUUUUCAGAAGAAUAAUCAUUUUUUUGAAAAUUUAUUUGAUUUAUUUGAAAAAGCAAACGGGUUAUUCUUCUUUAAUACAUUAGUACACUGAUAGAAAUAAGGGAUUAGUAAAUUUUGCCAUCAAAUUGAAUAUUAAACAAUUGUGGAUGUCACGCAGAUCUCUGAGGUACAUAUAAAUUGAAUAAGCAAAAUAAAUGAGGACAAUUAAUUAAACCAUUGAUAAUUUUAAAUAAAAAUAACAUGUCAGCAUAUAAAAAUCUUUAUGAUAAUAAGUGAACAUUGAAUGAUGCCCUUCAUUUGUGUAAUCAUUUAUAUUAAGAACAAAAAUGACUCUAGAAAAAUCUAAAUCGACUUUUGGUCUAUUUUCGAUUUCAUAACUCAAUUCUCUUAUUUAUAUACUUGUUUAAAAAGAUGGUUGGAUAGCCAUUUUCCUGUAAAGUAUUAAAAACCAUUUUCAUAUUAUCUGAAUGAUGUUUUGCUUCAGAUAAUUUUAUCGCUUUAUCUAUUAAGGAAAAAACAAUGCCAAUCUUUAUGUUUAUGUGGUGGUUCGACUCAAAAUUAUUUUUGUGUCGGAUGUAAUUUGGAUAAGCAAAACCAUUUCAGCAAGAACAUCUAUUAAAAAAAAACCUCCGAAAUAUUUGUAAGAGAAAUAAUAACAUGAAAUAGAAACAGUAUUGUAGGAGAAAUAGAUAAAGAGAAGGUGAAUUUAUGCUGCUAACAACUAACAAGUUUAUCAAAGUGUCGGUAUCUUGGAUGUGAAUCAUAAACAUAUCUAAUGUACAGGGAUCAGUGUGCCAGACAGAUUUGAUGCAUUGGCGGAUAAGUAGCGUUGAGUUCUCGCUUCAUUUAUCAAGGAACUAGCCCACCUGUCGUCACUCCUUGGCAUUUCAGUUUCUCUCAUACCCGAGAAAGAAGAGAAGAAGGUGGGUCCUCCAGCACACGCGUGCAUCGUACCAUUAGGUGCGUGUAAACGCAUCUCAUUGUCAAAAUGAAAUACGAACGCACACGAUAUACGAGCGACCUGCACCUUCCUAAAGACAUGCCUCCCGGAUAACAAAUAACAUAUCGACUUUAUUUUCAUCGACAUCUUUCAACUUCUGCAUUUCAUCUCAAUUCUAUUUUUAAACAAUUUUUUAAAUUUCUUCAUUUUUGAUAUGACUGGAGGCAUAUUAUAAAUUAUAAUUACCGAACUGGAAUUAAUUUUUGUGAUCUAUUUUAAUUGAUUUUUUUAUAUGAAAAAUGAAGGCAUCUUCUGUAAAAGUAGAUACUAAUUCAGAAGGAAACAAUUUCUUUUUUUGGAUAGAUUUUCCUAUUGUGAGAAAUUUAAAUCGAUUGGAUCUAAACUAAGGUGGAUGUGGCUGCGUAAAUUAUCCGAGCAGUGUGUACUUAUCGAAUGAUUUACUGGCAGGCAGCAAACUUUGAUUUACACACAACGCAACGCAUAACCUGGGCUUUAGUUAAAAGGAGAAGUUGAAGAAGAAGUUUACGAUUUGAAAUGUGAAAUAAGGUGGAAGAGGAUCUUUCAUCCCUUUUUCAACCCUUUCGAUAAGGUACUAAUCAGACUUAUCAGAUGUAUACAAUCGAACUUGGUUAAGUGAGAAAGCAAGGGACGGCCUAAUUAAUUUUACUAAAGGAGAUUUCGCACUUGUCCAAUUUCCCACUCAUCUGUUCCUAAAUGACCUUAUGACCCUUUGGAAAAUGUUACGGUUAUUCUUCGUUGGAUUAUCAUCAAUAAAAACUAAUAUAAAUUAACAUUCAUUUUCACUUUUUAAUUUUUAUUAAAGAAUUUGUAACCACCUUACAAAUUUUAUUUACCGAUGGUAAAUAAAAUGGAGUACAGAAACGCAUCGUAUACUUUGGUAUAUUGAUAGAUAUCAUUUGCAAAAUAAAAAAACAAUCAAUCAAACCACGAAUAAUCUUAAAAAUAAAUAAAAUAUAUGAGGACGUCUAUCCUCUAGCGACAAAAGACUAAAUCUAGCUUGUAAAAUCUUGAAUUCAGUUCCUCUAGGAGGAUAAACUUUAUCCUCCCUCCAAGAUAAAAAUUUUUAAAAUUGUUUAUGGCAGUAUUCAAUUGCCUCACGAUACUUGGGAAAGUUCGGAGACCAGAUAACAGACGCAUAAAUGAAUUUGGAUACUACAAAUGUUUGGAAGAGAAUUUCUAUAGUUGAGAUUCUCUUAAACUGUUUACAUGACCUAAUUAGAAAUCCAAGGGUUUUACUAGCGCUGUUAACAAUGUUACUAAUGUGAUCAUUAAAGGAUAAAUUAGGAAUAAAAAUUACACCAAGAUCUUUAAUUUUAUUUAGCCUUUCAAGCGCAUACCUUCAAUAAAGUACUGGUAUGUGAUGAUUGAUUUCCCUAUCAGAAAUUUCAUUACUUUACAUUUACGAAUGUUCAAUUUUAAAUUAUUAUCUUUACACCAAUUAUAAAAAUUAUCCACAUUAUCUUGCAAAACUUGACAUGAAUAAACAUUAGAAAUUGGAAGGUAAAGUUUUACAUCAUCAGCAUAAAGAAGAUGGUAGCAAAAUUAAGAAAAGAGAGACAUCGUUCAUAUAUGUAGAAAAAAGUAAUGCUCCUAAAUGGGAUCCUUGAGGAACUCCAGAUGAAGGAAAGAAGCAUAUGAAACACAGCCACUAUAUUAUACAAAAUUUGGUCUGUUAGUUUAAUAAGACCUGAUUAAUUGUAUUAAUUUAUCAGGAAAAUCAAAUGUAAGAAGCUUAUCAAUUAAUAAGUUAUGAUCAACUUUAUCAAAAGCUUUGGUAGCGUCAGUGUAAAUAACAUUAAUUGGAGGGAAAUCAUUAAAUAGUUCAUUAAUAUGUUGCGUGAAAACCAAUAAAUUUGUUAUUGGAUGUAUUCCACGUCAGUUCAACACAAAAAAUUUUAUUAGGUUUUGGGAUUCGGUUGAAAUUGGGUAGAUUAUAUCCU
Molecule: long non-coding RNA, 5452 nt
Organism: Leptopilina heterotoma
Lineage: Eukaryota; Metazoa; Arthropoda; Insecta; Hymenoptera; Figitidae
Exons: 7
Source: RefSeq, a predicted model, not a curated record